Molecule: long non-coding RNA, 760 nt
Organism: Lethenteron reissneri (Far Eastern brook lamprey)
Lineage: Eukaryota; Metazoa; Chordata; Hyperoartia; Petromyzontiformes; Petromyzontidae
Source: RefSeq, a predicted model, not a curated record
GGAGUGCUCUGACUUGAGUGGCACUCCACAAAACCCCCGGCGCCUGUCUUUACGAAGCAAGCUCGCCGCCGCUGUCGUUGCGAGGAACCCUGCAGCAACAUAAACCGUGCAGUCGUGAAGUGCGAUGCAGAGCUAAAUCCCAAGCGUGGCAUUUGUUUGUCAGUAAAAGCGUUGUGCAUUUAUAUAUAUAUAUAAAGAUUGCUAAGGUUACAAAUAAAAUGUGCAGCCCUGCAAUUUCUCGUUCAUGUAAAACUUCUGGCGGAGCAGCCUUUACUAGAGGAAGCUCAAGUGAGCCCAUGCAGACACUGAGAUGGUAUUUGGCCUACUCAUCUACACUAGGAAGACGUCUUGAAAGAGGUGCGGAAUGGCGGCGCAACGGCAGCAGAGUGAAGUCUCCUGGAAUUGAAUUCUCCAGGAGACCAACGUCAAGAUGGAGUGCUGCUGCUGCUGCUACUGCUCUUGACUUCAAACCGCACUUGUCCACUGUCCAUUACUAAUGCAGCCCAUGGUCUCUCCACGACACUGCCAGGGCGCUGUCUGGUGUGACAUCGCAGCACGUUCUUCGGACUCGACUGAGUGAUGCGAGAAACAUUCCGUUAUUUAUCUAUUUUUGCACGCGGUGUCGUCUUGAAGCGUUAAAAUGCAUCCCCAAUUUGCGUGCGUCGUGUGGGCCGCGUUUAUCCCCGCGACCGAGCACGGCGGCUGUUAACUGGAAACACUCCACAGAAGUAAAUUCCUGUCUGACAGACCACCUCUCCUA